AGAGUUUGAUCAUGGCUCAGGAUGAACGCUAGCGACAGGCUUAACACAUGCAAGUCGAGGGGCAGCAUGAUUUGUAGCAAUACAGAUUGAUGGCGACCGGCGCACGGGUGAGUAACGCGUAUGCAACUUACCUAUCAGAGGGGGAUAGCCCGGCGAAAGUCGGAUUAAUACCCCAUAAAACAGGGGUCCCGCAUGGGAAUAUUUGUUAAAGAUUCAUCGCUGAUAGAUAGGCAUGCGUUCCAUUAGGCAGUUGGCGGGGUAACGGCCCACCAAACCGACGAUGGAUAGGGGUUCUGAGAGGAAGGUCCCCCACAUUGGUACUGAGACACGGACCAAACUCCUACGGGAGGCAGCAGUGAGGAAUAUUGGUCAAUGGCCGAGAGGCUGAACCAGCCAAGUCGCGUGAAGGAAGAAGGAUCUAUGGUUUGUAAACUUCUUUUAUAGGGGAAUAAAGUGGGGGACGUGUCCUUUUUUGUAUGUACCCUAUGAAUAAGCAUCGGCUAACUCCGUGCCAGCAGCCGCGGUAAUACGGAGGAUGCGAGCGUUAUCCGGAUUUAUUGGGUUUAAAGGGUGCGUAGGUGGUGAUUUAAGUCAGCGGUGAAAGUUUGUGGCUCAACCAUAAAAUUGCCGUUGAAACUGGGUUACUUGAGUGUGUUUGAGGUAGGCGGAAUGCGUGGUGUAGCGGUGAAAUGCAUAGAUAUCACGCAGAACUCCGAUUGCGAAGGCAGCUUACUAAACCAUAACUGACACUGAAGCACGAAAGCGUGGGGAUCAAACAGGAUUAGAUACCCUGGUAGUCCACGCAGUAAACGAUGAUUACUAGGAGUUUGCGAUACAAUGUAAGCUCUACAGCGAAAGCGUAAAGUAAUCCACCUGGGGAGUACGCCGGCAACGGUGAAACUCAAAGGAAUUGACGGGGGCCCGCACAAGCGGAGGAACAUGUGGUUUAAUUCGAUGAUACGCGAGGAACCUUACCCGGGUUUGAACGUAGUCUGACCGGAGUGGAAACACUCUUUCUAGCAAUAGCAGAUUACGAGGUGCUGCAUGGUUGUCGUCAGCUCGUGCCGUGAGGUGUCGGCUUAAGUGCCAUAACGAGCGCAACCCUUAUCACUAGUUACUAACAGGUGAAGCUGAGGACUCUGGUGAGACUGCCAGCGUAAGCUGUGAGGAAGGUGGGGAUGACGUCAAAUCAGCACGGCCCUUACGUCCGGGGCGACACACGUGUUACAAUGGCAUGGACAAAGGGCAGCUACCUGGUGACAGGAUGCUAAUCUCCAAACCAUGUCUCAGUUCGGAUCGGAGUCUGCAACUCGACUCCGUGAAGCUGGAUUCGCUAGUAAUCGCGCAUCAGCCAUGGCGCGGUGAAUACGUUCCCGGGCCUUGUACACACCGCCCGUCAAGCCAUGGGAGCCGGGGGUACCUGAAGUCCGUAACCGCAAGGAUCGGCCUAGGGUAAAACUGGUGACUGGGGCUAAGUCGUAACAAGGUA
RNAcentral lists this ribosomal RNA (1489 nucleotides) under metagenome. RNAcentral's name for it is "bacterial SSU rRNA". It matches the Rfam family "Bacterial small subunit ribosomal RNA". The record is from RNAcentral.